GUCGAAUGACUUGGAAAAGUCAGUCAAAGAGGGUAAAAACCCCGUAGAUGAAAUUUGGAAGGCACCUAGGAGGAUCCUGAGUACGGCGGAACACGAGGAAUUCCGUCGGAAUCCGGGAGGACCAUCUCCCAAGGCUAAAUACUCCCUAGUGACCGAUAGUGAACCAGUACCGUGAGGGAAAGGUGAAAAGCACCCCGGAAGGGGAGUGAAAUAGAACCUGAAACCGUGUGCCUACAACAAGUCAAAGCCCGUUAAUGGGUGAUGGCGUGCCUUUUGUAGAAUGAACCGGCGAGUUACGAUUGCAUGCGAGGUUAAGUUGAAGAGACGGAGCCGCAGCGAAAGCGAGUCUGAAUAGGGCGUUUGAGUAUGUAGUCGUAGACCCGAAACCAUGUGAUCUACCCAUGUCCAGGUUGAAGGUGCGGUAAAACGCACUGGAGGACCGAACCCACGUACGUUGAAAAGUGCGGGGAUGAGGUGUGGGUAGCGGAGAAAUUCCAAACGAACUUGGAGAUAGCUGGUUCUCUCCGAAAUAGCUUUAGGGCUAGCCUCGGAAUUGAGAAUGAUGGAGGUAGAGCACUGUUUGGACUAGGGGCCCAUCUCGGGUUACCGAAUUCAGAUAAACUCCGAAUGCCAUUCAUUCAUAUCCGGGAGUCAGACUGUGAGUGAUAAGAUCCAUAGUCGAAAGGGAAACAGCCCAGACCACCAGCUAAGGUCCCAAAAUAUAUGUUAAGUGGAAAAGGAUGUGGGGUUGCACAGACAACUAGGAUGUUGGCUUAGAAGCAGCCACCAUUUAAAGAGUGCGUAAUAGCUCACUAGUCGAGUGACCCUGCGCCGAAAAUGUACCGGGGCUAAACAUAUUACCGAAGCUGUGGAGUACACCUUUAGGUGUAUUGGUAGGAGAGCGUUCUAAGGGCGUUGAAGGCAGAUCGUGAGGACUGCUGGAGCGCUUAGAAGUGAGAAUGCCGGUAUGAGUAGCGAAAGACAGGUGAGAAUCCUGUCCACCGAAUGACUAAGGUUUCCUGGGGAAGGCUCGUCCGCCCAGGGUUAGUCGGGACCUAAGCCGAGGCCGACAGGCGUAGGCGAUGGACAACAGGUUGAUAUUCCUGUACUCGUUGUUUUUGUUUGAGCAAUGGAGGGACGCAGGAGGCUAAGGAAUGCAGACGAUUGGAAAUGUCUGUCUAAGCAGUAAGUCUUGAUAGGAGUCAAAUGCUUCUAUCUGUACGGACAAGCUGUGAUGGGGAGGGAAAUAAUAGUACCGAAGUUCCUGAUGUCACACUGCCGAGAAAAGCUUCUAGUGAGAAAACAACGACCCGUACCGCAAACCGACACAGGUAGUCGAGGAGAGAAUCCUAAGGUGAGCGAGAGAACUCUCGUUAAGGAACUCGGCAAAAUGACCCCGUAACUUCGGGAGAAGGGGUGCUGAUCU
Molecule: ribosomal RNA, 1426 nt
Filed under: Enterococcus hirae
Lineage: Bacteria; Bacillati; Bacillota; Bacilli; Lactobacillales; Enterococcaceae
Description: partial 23S ribosomal RNA
Rfam family: Bacterial large subunit ribosomal RNA
Source: RNAcentral